UACGUAGGGUGCGAGCGUUGUCCGGAAUUAUUGGGCGUAAAGGGCUCGUAGGCGGUUUGUCGCGUCGGGAGUGAAAACACGGGGCUUAACCCCGUGCCUGCUUCCGAUACGGGCAGACUAGAGGUAUGCAGGGGGGAACGGAAUUCCUGGUGUAGCGGUGAAAUGCGCAGAUAUCAGGAGGAACACCGGCGGCGAAGGCGGUUCUCUGGGCAUUACCUGACGCUGAGGAGCGAAAGUGUGGGGAGCGAACAGG
RNAcentral lists this ribosomal RNA (253 nucleotides) under uncultured bacterium. RNAcentral's name for it is "partial 16S ribosomal RNA". It matches the Rfam family "Bacterial small subunit ribosomal RNA", at positions 524 to 776 of the family's 1533-position model. The record is from RNAcentral.